GGUGUGUUUGGUGGGGGUGGAGGGUGGAAGGCUGUGAGAGCAGCGCCACCAUGUGGUCCUAGGAUCACUAUCCAGAGCAGAGACGGACCAGCCCAGAGCUAAGGGUGGGUCCCUACGUGGCUGCGCUCCUGGAAGGGGAGGCCAGUGGAUUGGACAUAGGUGAUGACAGUGCUCGACUGGCACGUGUGACCAAUGGCUGCUGUGCAGGACGGCACAGGUCUGGUGCGGGGAAGGGAGCGCGCACGUACGCGCGCGCGCGCGCACACGUCACAAAAGGUACAAAGUUCCGUGGUGGGAGAGACUGACUUAGAUUGGCCAUGUCAGGAAAGGUUUCCUGGGGGGGGGGUGGCAUUUCUAGCGGGCCUUGGUGGUUACACGAGACGUGAAAAGUGAAGAGACGAGGGGAGUUGCGGGUGGAAGAGGCUGGGUGCGUUCACACAGGAGCCAGCAGGACGGGGGUGGGUAAGUCAGCCUGGCUCUCAAGCCAAAGCCCGCCUGCCAUCUGCAUCUCUGUGAUCUAAGAGCUAAGAACAGUCUUUACAUUUUUAAAAAAUCAAAAGAAGACUAUUUCUUGACACCUGAAAGAUAUAGGAUACUGAAAUCGCCGUGUGCAGAAGUGAAGAUCUCUUGGAACACACUUCCCUUCCGUGCCAUGGAGGGAGCAAAGCCGAAGUCGGAUCCAGGGGCCCCCACCCCAGCGGUGGUCCCUGUGGUCCAGCCAUAGGCCCGACCCCCACAAGGACCUCAAAACAGUCCACUCUCCAGCGGAAUGAACCCCAGACUCCACCCGCUGAGAAGCCCCGUUGAUGAGAGCCUGUCAGUGGAGCCACUCGUCCACACACCUCCUGGGCAUGGGAGGGCACGGGGACCGCUCCCCGAGCACAAACGCCCCCACACCCCACUUUCUUCCUGGCCACCAGGGCCCGGCUGGUUAAGUUGCGUUGAUGGUGACCCUCAGUCUAUCGGUUUCACCAUGGGGAAAUAAAGGCCCAGGGAGAGAAA
Chinchilla lanigera (long-tailed chinchilla) is the source of this 1002-nucleotide long non-coding RNA. RefSeq lists it as uncharacterized. The transcript has 2 exons. The record is from RefSeq and is a predicted model, not a curated record. Lineage: Eukaryota; Metazoa; Chordata; Mammalia; Rodentia; Chinchillidae.